Molecule: ribosomal RNA, 231 nt
Filed under: uncultured bacterium
Lineage: Bacteria
Description: partial 16S ribosomal RNA
Rfam family: Bacterial small subunit ribosomal RNA
Source: RNAcentral
CGGGUGCGUAACACGUAUGCAACUUGCCCUAUACUGGGAGGAUAGCCCGAAGAAAUUCGGAUUAAUAUCCCAUAACAUCAGGAUAAGCAUUUAUAUUGGUUCAAAGCUCCGGCGGUAUAGGAUGGGCAUGCGGUCGAUUAGCUUGUUGGUGAGGUAACGGCUCACCAAGGCGACGAUCGAUAGGGGGCCUGAGAGGGUGAUCCCCCACACUGGUACUGAGACACGGACCAG